UACAGAGGGGGCAAGCGUUGUUCGGAAUUACUGGGCGUAAAGGGCGCGUAGGUGGCCUUCUAAGUUGAACGUGAAAUCCCUGGGCUCAACCCAGGAACGGCGUCCAAGACUGGGAGGCUUGAAUCCGGGAGAGGGAUGCGGAAUUCCAGGUGUAGCGGUGAAAUGCGUAGAUAUCUGGAGGAACACCGGUGGCGAAGGCGGCAUCCUGGACCGGUAUUGACACUGAGGCGCGAAAGCCAGGGGAGCAAACGGG
Molecule: ribosomal RNA, 253 nt
Filed under: uncultured bacterium
Lineage: Bacteria
Description: partial 16S ribosomal RNA
Rfam family: Bacterial small subunit ribosomal RNA
Source: RNAcentral